GUUGCGAUGAUGAGGUUAUUUUGAGGUGUUUGGGCAGUGGCGGUUUCUGAUCGCCGUGAGCCUUCAACCAUUAUACGACUUCUCCUUCCGCUGAGCACA
This 99-nucleotide small nucleolar RNA is filed under the name Amborella trichopoda. RNAcentral's name for it is "snoRNA snoZ152". It matches the Rfam family "Small nucleolar RNA Z152/R70/R12/". From Rfam's summary of the family: Z152 is a member of the C/D class of snoRNA which contain the C (UGAUGA) and D (CUGA) box motifs. The record is from Rfam by way of RNAcentral. Lineage: Eukaryota; Viridiplantae; Streptophyta; Magnoliopsida; Amborellales; Amborellaceae.